This 497-nucleotide ribosomal RNA is filed under the name uncultured bacterium. Its description in RNAcentral is "partial 16S ribosomal RNA". It matches the Rfam family "Bacterial small subunit ribosomal RNA", at positions 28 to 507 of the family's 1533-position model. The record is from RNAcentral.
GAUGAACGCUGGCGGCGUGCCUAAUACAUGCAAGUCGAGCGAACGGACUAUACGCUUGCUUCUCUGAUGUUAGCGGCGGACGGGUGAGUAACACGUGGAUAACCUACCUAUAUGGCUGGGAUCACUGCGUGACACCGGAACUCAUAACGGAUAAUAUUUUGAACUGAAUUGUUCAAUAGUGAAAGACGGUAUUGCUGUAACUUAUAGCUGGAACCGCGCUGCUUUAUCUAUUUGGUAGGGUAACGGCUUACGAAGGCAACGAUGCAUAGCCGACCUCAGAGGGUGACCGGCAAACCUGGAACUGAGACAGGGUCCAGCCUCCUCCGGGAGGCAGCAGUAGGGAACCUUCCGCAAUGGGCGAAAGCCUGACGGAGCAACGCGGCGUGAGUGAUGAAGGUCUUCGGAUCGUAAACCUCUGUUAUUAGGGAAGAACAUAUGUGUAAGUAACUGUGCACAUCUUGACGGUACCUAAUCAGAAAGCCACGGCUAACUACGUG